GAGGGAAAGAGAUUUGGGCCCAAAUCUGGUUUUCCUGUCCGCCUGGGCCAGUAUUUGGGCCCACUUUCGUUUUGGGCUUUCGGCCCAUUUGAGUCACCUGCACCUGUCCUAGUCUAACAUGAAAUGAAUAUCUUUCUUUUGGACCUUAAGCCCAAUUUCUCCACCUGUCCUAGGAACUAACAAGUAAUAGUAAGCAAAAUGACAAGGGCUUAGGCCCAAUAAUAACAAAAUACAAUUUCGAAUAAAUAAAGGUGGGCUUUGGCCCAAUCUUUUUCAACUUCUCGAUUUG
RNAcentral lists this long non-coding RNA (289 nucleotides) under Solanum tuberosum (potato). RNAcentral's name for it is "long non-coding RNA (STUB_LNC007838)". The record is from RNAcentral. Lineage: Eukaryota; Viridiplantae; Streptophyta; Magnoliopsida; Solanales; Solanaceae.